RNAcentral lists this ribosomal RNA (484 nucleotides) under uncultured bacterium. RNAcentral's name for it is "partial 16S ribosomal RNA". It matches the Rfam family "Bacterial small subunit ribosomal RNA", at positions 30 to 507 of the family's 1533-position model. The record is from RNAcentral.
AUUGAACGCUGGCGGCAUGCCUAACACAUGCAAGUCGAGCGGAUGAAGGGAGCUUGCUCCUGGAUUCAGCUGCGGACGGGUGAGUAAUGCCUAGGAAUCUGCCUGGUAUUUGGGGAUAACGUCCGGAAACGGGCGCUGAUACCGCAUACGUCCUUAUGGUGAAAGUGGGGGAUCUUCGGACCUCACGCUAUCAGAUGAGCCUAGGUCGGAUUAGCUAGUUGGUGGGGUAAAGGCCUACCAAGGCGACGAUCCGUAACUGGUCUGAGAGGAUGAUCAGUCACACUGGAACUGAGACACGGUCCAGACUCCUACGGGAGGCAGCAGUGGGGAAUAUUGGACAAUGGGCGAAAGCCUGAUCCAGCAAUGCCGCGUGUGUGAAGAAGGUCUUCGGAUUGUAAAGCACUUUAAGUUGGGAGGAAGGGCAGUAAGUUAAUACCUUGCUGUUUUGACGGUACCAAAAGAAUAAGCACCGGCUAACUUCGUG